CUUAGUUAUAAAGAUAAAGAACCAAUAUUGAACUAAACUGCUAAGUUGACAUGAACGCUGCUAGAAAAUAUCCACAUUGAUGGAACACAUUCCAACUGCUUGGCGAGAUUCGUGAACCAUGCCCAUCCCGGUGUGCCAAUUGUAAAAUAGUGUUACUGGUUCGUGACAAAGUGCCGUAUCUAGGCUUAAAGUCUCUAAAACUCAUAAAGACUAAUGAAGAGCUUAGAUACGAUUAUGGUGACAAAUGCAUGUUGUCUUUGAGAAAGCAGAAGAACUUGUGUGUGCCAUUACAUUUAAAAGAUAUAGAGAAUCAGCUAAAAAAGAUCUCCCAUGCAAGUAUUCUGAAACUGAAGGAAGGGCAAAAAACUGUAAUUGAGGUAGAAGGUGAGCACACUUACAAUGAGAAGUAUAACCUUUCAUCAAUAAACGUGUAUUGUGACACAAUUAUUUUUAUAGUAUUAAAACAGCCUUACAUGAUUAUCAGAGAUCGUGAAAAUUUGUUCAAGCCAUUAAUAUAUAAGACGAAGAUCCCUAACCUUCCCUAAUCCUUCACUUUGAAAAGGGUUGUCUGUUUGAAAUCGACAAGGAAAUCACAAGACAUGACUCGUGUGAUACAAGGCAUCUUAACAGUUCACAUCUAAAUUAGUAUUCUCUAUGGUGCUCUUUUUUAUUCCUAGGGUCACUAUUUUAAAGUAAGAGUCUGUGUGUUUUAAUUUUAUGCUAACUACAACUUCUUAACUGUUUCUGGAAAAGUAUUACUUGGUGCUUUGCAGCUAGUGGGCGGCAAAAAACUUUUUUUAUGGUAUGACAAAUCAACAACGUAGAAAAUGCCUAGAUGUAUUUUCUACAAUUCCUGCAUUACACGUUGUUUUUUGAAAGAUAACCGUAUUUUGACCUGAGCCUCAAUUUUCUUUGCAAAAUGACUGAAUAUAGGCUCAAAUUUUCUUAUUUUUUCUCUUAAUUUUUAUUCCUCUUUGUUUUCUUUAUAAAUAACUACUAUAUUUUAUCGACAUUUGAAAUAACAUUUUUUUGAAGAAAAAAAGACCUCUUUUGUUAUUUUGGGAUAAAACUUUGUUAGUAAUUAAUUCCACAAUUUUGAAUACAUUUUGCCUCCAGAGAUCCAUGAAUGCUGUAUAGCUACUUUACGGAAAAAAAAGAAACUUGAUUGUGUUCUUCUGAAAUUACGGAUAUUUUGGUAACUGUAAAUCUAAAUAUCAAGGUCUUUAAAAAUUGAAUCUUGACAAGCUGAAACCGGGGAUUUUCCUAAAAUGUUUUUACGAUUUCAAGGUUUUUGAGCGUCAUCUAAUAAUCUACACAUUUGUAAAAGAAAGCGCAAAAGUAUUCGUUUUAUCAUAACUCCAACAACGUCUCUUAAGAUCCUUUCUAUUAAUGUUAACGUAAUAAAUAUGUUCUUCCUAGACCUCAAGAUGUUGCCGAUGAUGGCUUUUGUGAAUGUUGCAAGAUACGUUACACAUCACUACAACAUGUAUAUGUGCUGGCUUAAUUGCAAAGAUGAUUCACUAGCGAAAGUGUAGGGAGUCAGAACACUAUAUAUGGAAUAGGAACAUCUGGUUCAGAGCUGCCAAAAUUUAUCUGUUCUUCCAUCCACGAUAUUUAUUGAACAUUUGCAACAAACAUGCAUCAAACAUUCGCAAUAAGAUGAAAAUAAAUUUACACAAGUUAUUGACUUGAUCAAUUCAUGGCUUGAAAUUCAUUAAAAGUAUUAUAGAACAUUCAAUUUAUUGUUAGAUUAUGCUAUAAAUGUUUUUCUAUUUACAAAACAUAGCAUUUUAAUUGUAAUUCAUAUUUCUUCUUAUUGGAAAAAAGAUUAUAUUUUAUUAUA
This is an RNA transcript of Hydractinia symbiolongicarpus, 1843 nucleotides long. RefSeq lists it as uncharacterized. NCBI's taxonomy places the organism in Eukaryota, Metazoa, Cnidaria, Hydrozoa, Anthoathecata, Hydractiniidae. The record is from RefSeq and is a predicted model, not a curated record. The transcript is spliced from 7 exons.